UCAGGCCUAACACAUGCAAGUCGAACGGUAACGCGGGGGCAACCCUGGCGACGAGUGGCGAACGGGUGAGUAAUACAUCGGAACAUAUCCAGUAGCGGGGGAUAACCUAUCGAAAGAUUGGCUAAUACCGCAUACGAUCUACGGAUGAAAGCGGGGGACCGCAAGGCCUCGCACUAUUGGAGUGGCCGAUGUCAGAUUAGCUAGUUGGUGGGGUAAAAGCCUACCAAGGCGACGAUCUGUAGCUGGUCUGAGAGGACGAUCAGCCACACUGGAACUGAGACACGGUCCAGACUCCUACGGGAGGCAGCAGUGGGGAAUUUUGGACAAUGGGCGCAAGCCUGAUCCAAAAGUGCCGCGUGAGUGAAGAAGGCCUUCGGG
RNAcentral lists this ribosomal RNA (378 nucleotides) under uncultured bacterium. Its description in RNAcentral is "bacterial SSU rRNA". It matches the Rfam family "Bacterial small subunit ribosomal RNA", at positions 42 to 422 of the family's 1533-position model. The record is from RNAcentral.